This 496-nucleotide long non-coding RNA is filed under the name Musa acuminata (dwarf banana). RNAcentral's name for it is "long non-coding RNA (MACU_LNC010783)". Lineage: Eukaryota; Viridiplantae; Streptophyta; Magnoliopsida; Zingiberales; Musaceae. The record is from RNAcentral.
GAGGAGCCAAUUGAGGGGUAACGGUAGGGAGUCUUACCAUCGUAUCAACUCUCCCGCCACCGUCGCCAGCCCUAGGGGUCGUCGCUGCCAUGUUUGAUCCCUCUUCUGGUCGCGGCUAUAGAAUCAUCUCCAUAGGGAAAAACCACCGUCGCAGUAUAUCAGAUCGCCGCUACAGUACCGUCGCCCUAGGGAGAUCUGGUCGCCGCUAUAGUAUCGUCGCCCUUGGGGAGAAGCCGACGCUGCAGGAGAUCCGAUCACCACUACAGUAAGGGAGAUCAGAUCGUUGCUAUAGUAUCGUCGUCCGUGGGAGAAAGCCAACGCUGCAGGAGUCAGAUCGCCCUAGGGAGAUCUCGUCGCCGCUACAGUGUCGUCGCCGCUACAGUACUGUCGCUGCUACAGUGUCGUCGCCGCCGCUACAGUACGUCGCCCUUGGGAAACAGCCGACGCUGCAGGAAAUCAGAUCGCCGCUACAGUGUCGUCGCCUGUCGCCCGUGGG